Molecule: ribosomal RNA, 505 nt
Filed under: uncultured bacterium
Lineage: Bacteria
Description: partial 16S ribosomal RNA
Rfam family: Bacterial small subunit ribosomal RNA
Source: RNAcentral
CUAAGAAUAUUCCGCAAUGGACGGAAGUCUGACGGAGCGACGCCGCGUGGAUGACGAAGGCCGAAAGGUUGUAAAGUUCUUUUGCUGGGGAAGAAUAACCGCAGGAGGGAAUGCCUGUGGGAUGACAAGAACCGGCGAAUAAGCCCCGGCCAACUACGUGCCAGCAGCCGCGGUAACACGUAGGGGGCGAGCGUUGUUCGGAAUUACUGGGCGUAAAGGGCAUGUAGGCGGCUUGGAAAGCCUGGCGUGAAAGUCUGCAGCUUAACUGCAGGGGUGCGCUGGGAACUGCUGAGCUUGAGUGACGGAGAGGGAGCUGGAAUUCCUGGUGUAGGGGUGAAAUCUGCAGAUAUCAGGAAGAACACCGAUGGCGAAGGCAAGCUCCUGGCCGAUGACUGACGCUGAGGUGCGAAAGUGUGGGGAUCAAAACAGGAUUAGAUAGCCCUGGUAGUCCACACAGUCAACGAUGUGCACUAGGUGCUGGGGCGGUAGCUUCGGUGCCGGAGCG